UGGGGAAUAUUGGACAAUGGGCGCAAGCCUGAUCCAGCCAUGCCGCGUGAGUGAUGAAGGCCUUAGGGUUGUAAAGCUCUUUCGCCGGUGAAGAUAAUGACGGUAACCGGAGAAGAAGCCCCGGCUAACUUCGUGCCAGCAGCCGCGGUAAUACGAAGGGGGCUAGCGUUGCUCGGAAUCACUGGGCGUAAAGCGCACGUAGGCGGAUCGUUAAGUCAGGGGGUGAAAUCCUGGAGCUCAACUCCAGAACUGCCCUUGAUACUGGCGAUCUCGAGUUCGAGAGAGGUUGGUGGAACUCCGAGUGUAGAGGUGAAAUUCGUAGAUAUUCGGAAGAACACCAGUGGCGAAGGCGGCCAACUGGCUCGAUACUGACGCUGAGGUGCGAAAGCGUGGGGAGCAAAACAGGAUUAGAUACCCUGGUAGUCCACGCCGUAAAACGAUGGAUGCUAGCCGUUGGGGGGUUUACCUCUCAGUGGCGCAGCUAACGCCUUAAGCAUCCCGCCUGGGGAGUACGGUCGCAAGAUUAAAACUUAAAUGAAUUGACGGGGUCAUAGCUG
This 557-nucleotide ribosomal RNA is filed under the name uncultured bacterium. RNAcentral describes it as "partial 16S ribosomal RNA". It matches the Rfam family "Bacterial small subunit ribosomal RNA", at positions 355 to 932 of the family's 1533-position model. The record is from RNAcentral.